Molecule: transfer RNA, 63 nt
Filed under: Pelagomonas calceolata
Lineage: Eukaryota; Pelagophyceae; Pelagomonadales; Pelagomonadaceae
Source: RNAcentral
UAAACUUUGAUCGAAUUUAUAGUAGAAUAAGAAUAUAGACCUAAUUUAAUAGUUAAACUUAAA